AGUGGUUUUUAUGAUGUAACGUUCUGUAAAUAAACCUUGAAAUAUUAAUAUACUCUUCUUUUAUUGUUACUUCUCAAGCUACUCAUCUUGUUGAGGGUGGCAAGUUGGUUUUUAAUGCAUUUGUAGAGGUUGCAAAAAUCUGAAGGUAACAAGGAUACGGACAGCUUAAAAGAAAACGCAGUGAUUUAGUUUUGUGCAUUGGUGGAGGCUAGAAAGAUCUGAGACUGGGGCCAUAUACUCGAAACACCAUAUGUCUUGUGAGCUCUCAUAACUCACCUUACACGUCCGACCUCAUAACUUGUUACAACGUAUCGUGAAAAUCAUCCGCUAAUGGGUGCAGACAUAUUAUGUUGUAAAUGGACGUCACAAGCUGCGAGCUACUGGGAGCGCUUGUAAGUUAGUUGUAACUCCUUAUGACAUCAGAUUCAGGGCACCACUUCAACCUUGAUUAUGAUUUUGAGAUAAGUAUAGUAGACAGUGGUUAUUUGUUACUUCUAUAUGCACUGAUGUGAAAGUAAGACAUUUAAAUAUAAUAAUACAUUACAUGAAAGCACAUAACAUCUGAUUCAGCCGUAGUGAAGAGCUAUUAUAAUCCCUGCUUAACUCUGUUUUACCUACUAACACACCACAAAAGGUAAACUAACUUUUGGUAACCUACUAAGAAGCUUUACCUGCAACAUCCCCAGGAUGAACCAGCCCAUAAAGUUGUAUUAACUUCUGGUUGAGAGCCAGGGUGAUUGCUUCCCAUGGACACCUGACACUGCCCUUUCCAAUAAGGGCCAAGAGCAACAAAAUAUGGCAGCUGGUGUGGCGGCGAGCGGACGUGUCUCUUCUCGUGAAUACGACGGCUGACUGUUAUCAAUUGCCAUUGGCAUUUGGGGAUUUAGUCCAUGAGAGCUGUCUAUCAUGUCAUCUAAAACGAGGAAAGAGAAAGUCAUUGGGAAUAUCUCAAAACACUUUUUGUGUUCCAGCAGUGUUAGGGGUUACAGAGACUUGGCUCAUUAACUCAAUACCAGAUGGUAGUAUCUAUUCCAAAUCAUAAUAUAUGUAUGCAGAAAUGAUGGUUCAAUAUGUAAACAUGGAGUUUGUUUAUAUGUUAACAGUUCAAUUAGAUGUUUGAAUAUGGGUAAUAAAAAACCUAAUACGUA
Long non-coding RNA from Portunus trituberculatus (swimming crab), 1148 nucleotides. RefSeq lists it as uncharacterized. NCBI's taxonomy places the organism in Eukaryota, Metazoa, Arthropoda, Malacostraca, Decapoda, Portunidae. The transcript is spliced from 2 exons. The record is from RefSeq and is a predicted model, not a curated record.